Arabidopsis lyrata subsp. lyrata is the source of this 1117-nucleotide long non-coding RNA. RefSeq lists it as uncharacterized. The transcript is spliced from 5 exons. The record is from RefSeq and is a predicted model, not a curated record. NCBI's taxonomy places the organism in Eukaryota, Viridiplantae, Streptophyta, Magnoliopsida, Brassicales, Brassicaceae.
GGAGAAAAGAAGUCAGUGACCGCCUAAACUAAAAUUGGGCUCUAGAAACUCUUAUCCAAAAACCCUUAAAUUUUUUAUUUUUCUUUCACUUUAUUCAUCAGGCUAAUGAAACCGUCUAUCUUCUUUGACUUCUCUUCAUCUCCGUUACUCUAUUCUCGCUCAAUCCACUUCUCCUCUUUGCUUCUUAGUCUCUUCGUUUCUUCAUCUUCUUCACCUCUUCCUCUUCUCCCUCUUUUCUCGUCUUCUCCAGCAAACUCAUUUUUCCAGAUCUAAUUUUUUUUUUUUUUUUUCAGAUCUCGUCGCCGCUUAUGAUGUACCGCCAAAGUAAUCGAAGAAGACGUAGCGAGAGAUGUUAUGCUAGUUUUCCGAUAGUUACAAGGGAUCUCCGCCUUCCACCCUAGCUCCAUCAUUGCCUCUUAGAUCUGUCGCCGUUUCCACAUCUUAGCCGCCACCACGAGGAUGGAUGUAUUUGGUUCGAUUUUUAUAGGAAUUGAUGUUCUCAGAGAUGAAAGUGAGGGAUAAUUAGGAACAAAUACGAUCCUUUUCGUCGGAGCAUUGGAUCUGUGUGGCCUCUCGAUGGUAGAAGGGAGGAGUCCUAACAGCGAUUGAUGAAGAGAUGAGCGAUAUUGUGAGGAUUAAGACAACAGAUCGUGAAGAUAGGUGAUGAAUCAAGUUGAGGUGAAAUCAGAUUCGAGGCAUUGAGAUUCUUAAGUACGUUGACACUGUUACUCCGAAAUACAAGCCAAAGUUUGAUGCUUUGGUCAAAGGGAGGCGUCGUGGAAUCUGUUCUUGUAUGCAACUUGAAAAGUUGAGUUAGGAGAGGAGGAUGGGAUAGAACUAAGAGAGUUGCAAUAUGUCGUGUGUCUUCAAGUGAUCGAGCAGAGAAGGUCCAUUUCAUCCCUUUAGGUUCCAACGCUAGCAAGGUCUGGGUAGAGGUUUUCAAGGUUGAUGGUGCACGAGUGUGGAGAGCAAAUUGAGAAUUUGAAACAUUUGCAUGGGUUUUAUAUAUGAAGUACUUUGAACUCCUUAUCUUGGUGUUUUAUAAUAUGUAGAGCUUAGGUUUGACUCUUCAUGACAAAUAAAUGAAGUAUUUUGAUUAAAUAUACUGUUUCUUAUA